GAGGUCUCAUCACUACUGAGUCAGGAAAGAAGGCCCAGGAACUGCAGAUGGAAGAGGUCCUGUCGAUGGUGGAAGCUUGUGAGUGCUGGUGAUAACUUCACCUCAGAAGGAAGCAUAUGAAACAGAUGACCUGGAUCACCGGCAUGCACACACAGACUCUUUGUAAGCCAUGCAAGCAGAGAGAGAUAUGGAACCAGUGACCCCCAUCUCUACAGGAGGCCACCAGAAUGCUACUAUUGCCAGGAUCCUGAGAUGUCAGGAAGAAACCUGAAUUUGGCUCCAAGAAGCUUCCAAAUUAGGA
This is a non-coding RNA of Heterocephalus glaber (naked mole-rat), 301 nucleotides long. The record is from RefSeq and is a predicted model, not a curated record. Lineage: Eukaryota; Metazoa; Chordata; Mammalia; Rodentia; Bathyergidae.